This 427-nucleotide ribosomal RNA is filed under the name uncultured bacterium. Its description in RNAcentral is "partial 16S ribosomal RNA". It matches the Rfam family "Bacterial small subunit ribosomal RNA", at positions 355 to 774 of the family's 1533-position model. The record is from RNAcentral.
UGGGGAAUAUUGCACAAUGGGCGCAAGCCUGAUGCAGCCAUGCCGCGUGUAUGAAGAAGGCCUUCGGGUUGUAAAGUACUUUCAGCGAGGAGGAAGGCGAUGCGGUUAAUAACCGUGUCGAUUGACGUUACUCGCAGAAGAAGCACCGGCUAACUCCGUGCCAGCAGCCGCGGUAAUACGGAGGGUGCAAGCGUUAAUCGGAAUUACGGGGCGUAAAGCGCACGCAGGCGGUCUGUCAAGUCGGAUGUGAAAUCCCCGGGCUCAACCUGGGAACUGCAUUCGAAACUGGCAGGCUUGAGUCUUGUAGAGGGGGGUAGAAUUCCAGGUGUAGCGGUGAAAUGCGUAGAGAUCUGGAGGAAUACCGGUGGCGAAGGCGGCCCCCUGGACAAAGACUGACGCUCAGGUGCGAAAGCGUGGGGAGCAAACA